This 257-nucleotide ribosomal RNA is filed under the name uncultured Funneliformis. RNAcentral describes it as "partial large subunit ribosomal RNA". It matches the Rfam family "Eukaryotic large subunit ribosomal RNA", at positions 359 to 631 of the family's 3401-position model. The record is from RNAcentral. Lineage: Eukaryota; Fungi; Glomeromycota; Glomeromycetes; Glomerales; Glomeraceae.
GAAAGAUGAAAAGAACUUUGAAAAGAGAGUUAAACAGUACGUGAAAUUGUUGAAAGGGAAACGAUUGAAGUCAGUCAUACCAACGGGAAAUCAACCUCUUGAGCUCGGUCUCGUGGGUUUUGAAGAGUUUCAAAGCCUUCGGAUUCGCGGGAUUGGGAUCUCUUGGUGUACUUUUUCGUACGGUUAGUCAACAUCGGUUUUGAAUGUCAUAAAAUAACUGGAGGAAUGUAGCUUCGAUCUCGUAUUGAAGUGUUAUA